GAUGAAGAACGCAGCGAAAUGCGAUAAGUAAUGUGAAUUGCAGAAUUCAGUGAAUCAUCGAAUCUUUGAACGCACAUUGCGCCCCCUGGUAUUCCAUGGGGCAUGCCUGUUCGAGCGUCAUUUGUACCUUCAAGCUUUGCUUGGUGUUGGGUGUUUGUCUCGCCUUUGCGUGUAGACUCGCCUUAAAAUAAUUGGCAGCCGGCGUAUUGAUUUCGGAGCGCAGUACAUCUCGCGCUUUGCACUCAUAACGACAGCGUCCAAAAGUACAUUUUACACUCUUGACCUCGGAUCAGGUAGGGAUACCCGCUGAACUUAAGCAUAUCAAUAAGCGGAGGA
RNAcentral lists this unclassified non-coding RNA (336 nucleotides) under soil metagenome. RNAcentral's name for it is "partial contains 5.8S ribosomal RNA, internal transcribed spacer 2, and large subunit ribosomal RNA". The stretch from base 1 to 120 matches the Rfam family "5.8S ribosomal RNA", at positions 35 to 154 of the family's 154-position model. The record is from RNAcentral.